Long non-coding RNA from Dermacentor silvarum, 282 nucleotides. RefSeq lists it as uncharacterized. The record is from RefSeq and is a predicted model, not a curated record. Lineage: Eukaryota; Metazoa; Arthropoda; Arachnida; Ixodida; Ixodidae. The transcript is spliced from 3 exons.
CAGAAGACUGCACGAGCAUUUACAGGUUAUGAAACACUGCUGACAAGCCAUCAGAAGUUGCAUAUAGUGAUUCGGUGUUUUGCGUUUAUCACCAGGAAUGUGCGUAUGAGUGGUACAUGAUUCAUCACAGACAAGAAUGCCAGAACUUUUGCGGGAAGCAAUGGCAGGUACACAGCCUACUUUCACAGCCUUGCUGUGCUGUGAAAGUAGCGUAUGAGUGGCAGGUAUGUGCGUAUGAGUGGCACACAGCCUUGCUGUAAAAGUCGCGUGUCAACUGCUUUA